GUGCUUGCUUCGGCAGCGCGGCUACUAGAACUGGGACAAUUCCAGAGAUGAGCAUGGGCCCUGAGCAAGGCUGGCAUGGAAUUUCAUGGAGGGUUCCUUCCAAAUUUAA
This is a small nuclear RNA of Jaculus jaculus (lesser Egyptian jerboa), 109 nucleotides long. NCBI's taxonomy places the organism in Eukaryota, Metazoa, Chordata, Mammalia, Rodentia, Dipodidae. The record is from Ensembl.